UACGUAUGGUGCAAGCGUUAUCCGGAUUUACUGGGUGUAAAGGGAGCGCAGGCGGCGCGGCAAGUCCGAUGUGAAAACCCCCGGCUCAACCGGGGGACUGCAUUGGAAACUACCGGGCUGGAGUGCCGGAGAGGUAGGCGGAAUUCCUGGUGUGGCGGUGAAAUGCGUAGAUAUCAGGAGGAACACCAGUGGCGAAGGCGGCCUACUGGACGGUGACUGACGCUGAGGCUCGAAAGCGUGGGGAGCAAACAGG
Molecule: ribosomal RNA, 253 nt
Filed under: uncultured bacterium
Lineage: Bacteria
Description: partial 16S ribosomal RNA
Rfam family: Bacterial small subunit ribosomal RNA
Source: RNAcentral